GAUGCAUUUACUAAUGCUGAAAUGUUUGAGUCUAAUUUAGACAAAUACAGCCUAAAUGACGAACAAAGGAAUAGACUAUUUCAAAUAUGGCUGCCGACUCAAAUGGCAUGUAGACUGACCGCGCCCCUAAGAUUUCAGGACAAUGAUGAAAUAAUAUAUGGAAAUAAGCAAGACAGAUUAACACAAUUAAUAAAAUUAACAACAGGGAAUGAUUUUGCAGACACUGAAAUGUUGGAAAAACUAAAACCACACAAAGGGGAGGAUAUAUUUAGUUUUCUUGCAAAAUUUGAAAGUGCAUAUAGACUUGUUGGU
Pelobates cultripes (western spadefoot toad) is the source of this 312-nucleotide non-coding RNA. NCBI's taxonomy places the organism in Eukaryota, Metazoa, Chordata, Amphibia, Anura, Pelobatidae. The record is from the annotation of a GenBank genome assembly.